AAAAAAGACAGAGGAUUGGGAUUUUUUUUUCUUCAUAGGGUUUUGAGAAGACUGAGGCAAUCGUUGCUGAAGUCAGUGUUGUACUAGUGAAUCAGGAUUUUAAUGAAGUGGGUGUUAUUACUCUUGACUGUUUUGUGAAAUCGAAGUUACGUCUAUGAUUGAAGGAUUAAAAGGAUGUCUAUAGGAUUAAGUAUGUGAAGUGAAUAAAAUUUUUUGGAUUAAUCUAACAAGACAGUCAAUAGAUACAAGAUCGUGAGUAUAAAGCAGUAUCGAAGAUUAGC
RNAcentral lists this long non-coding RNA (281 nucleotides) under Physcomitrium patens. RNAcentral's name for it is "long non-coding RNA (PPAT_LNC011775)". The record is from RNAcentral. Lineage: Eukaryota; Viridiplantae; Streptophyta; Bryopsida; Funariales; Funariaceae.